Long non-coding RNA from Panthera uncia (snow leopard), 1288 nucleotides. RefSeq lists it as uncharacterized. The record is from RefSeq and is a predicted model, not a curated record. Lineage: Eukaryota; Metazoa; Chordata; Mammalia; Carnivora; Felidae. The transcript is spliced from 3 exons.
AUGUUUAUUUAUUUUUGACAGAGAGAGAGAGAGAGAGAGAGAGACAGAGCAUGAGCGGGGGAGGGGCAGAGAGAGUGGGAGACACAGAAUCCGAAGCAGGCUCCAGGCUCUGAGCUGUUAGCACAGAGCCCAAGGCGGCGUCGAACUCACAGACCGGGAGAUCAUGACCUGAGCUGAAGUUGGACACUCAACCGACUGAGCCACCCAGGCUCCCCCUACAGUAGUAAUUUAAUAAUUAAGUAGCAAAGACCCAAAUAGGAGAGUGUCAGUGAAAAUGACCAGGGAUGAGGCAAUUUAAGUAGCAUUAUGAGGGAAAACCUGGUAAGUACUGGCUGUUGGGAGAGAUGGGGAAAAGAAAGAAGAAUAAAGCUCGACUGCUAAAAGGCUUUAUCAUAAAGUGUUAGUUAAUAUGCCAACAUUCACUGGAAGACCAGUGAGCAAUCUCAUGAAUUUUGCUCUUUAGCUUUAAAUCAAGGAUAAUUUGUUAACCUAGGGUUUCAUACCUUUAUAAAGGGUUUGGCAUAGCUAAGUUUUGACUCAGUAUUGCUCUCAAGAGUGAACCCAGUAGGAAAGCUGAUGAAGGUGAGAUGAAGGACAUAAAGAGGCUAGGCACCAUCAAAGCCUCAUUGUUGGAGGCGUUCCAUUGUCUUCCUGAUGAUGAACUACUAACUCUCUCACAAAAUAUACUCUGAAGAAAUUCUUUCAGGACCUAUACUGUGAUGGGACCACGCAGGGCACGGAACGUUAUGGUUGCAAAGGAAUUAACAUGGGGAAAAUUGCAGCCAGGUCUCAGUUUCUCCCAGGUUCUCCUGGGAUUCCUCUGUCUAGCUCCGUCUUAGGAGGGGUUAAAAGUGCAUCUUCAAGCCGACCCCAGGCAGAGGCUGAGCCAGAGUCAGCACUGAGUGUCCCAACUCCCACUCCAGGGCUGUCUUCAAUUCCACAAAGGGGGAAAGCUGGCUUUGGUGGGGAGGGGUACACUGUGUAGCUAUUUAAGAAACUCAUAGAGCCUGAGGUGCCUCUCAGCAUAUUUUCACAUCAGCACAAAAGCCCUUAUGGCAGGUGACAAAAUAGGAAAAAUACAGGUCCAUAAGGGAGAAAAAAAAAAAAAAAGGAGUCACACAGCCAAAGAAAUAAGAAGUUGCAGCUAGAAGGAACUUCAGGCCACAGUGCCGUAGGUACGGUGAACACUGAACUUCCUUAGCUCCAAAAAUAUGUUCAUGUCCAGGGACUCUAUAUGUAAAACACUGUGCUAAAUGAUUUUACCCUGUACAUGUCCCUUAAAUAUAAA